This is a long non-coding RNA of Micropterus dolomieu (smallmouth bass), 826 nucleotides long. RefSeq lists it as uncharacterized. The transcript is spliced from 4 exons. Lineage: Eukaryota; Metazoa; Chordata; Actinopteri; Centrarchiformes; Centrarchidae. The record is from RefSeq and is a predicted model, not a curated record.
UUUAGAUCUUCAGUCUAACGCUCUCCCAACUGAGCUAUUUCGGCACGUACAAAACUAACGUCAAUAUAGCCGUACCGAGCAGGCUAGCUCCAUCGCUCUGGAAAGACUACAGAAUCUCUUCAGCAGAGUGAUGAGCCAGCAGGACCUGUCUUUAGCGGGAUAAAUGAAAGAAUAGCGAUAUCGGUAACUAACAGGAACACCAGUGGAGAAAUACAAACUCUUAACGUACCAUCUAACUACAUUUAGCCGUGUUCAGCCAUAUUACGUUAGUCGCCAACUAUGGUCACCAAUUACGUUUAAACACAAGAUGGCGCCAUUAGUGAACAUUAAACGCUGGUUGAUAUUUUAGUCACUGUGGACCUCUGAAAAUAACAAUGGUGACUUUCCUUCCUUCACAGACAUUGCAGCUGUUCCUCGCUUUGUUCUGGAAGGCCUGAGUGUGGAUAAGAGAUGAGAGAGAUUCAGGCCGGCGGAAUAAAGAGAAGGAGAACCAAGGGAGGAAAUGGGGGUGUGAAAGAGGGGGAGACUGAUGAGAUUAUCAAGCAGGAUGAAGGAAUCUACAGUGUUGCUUCACUGCACAAAUCAGUAAGAACGUUUGGAAAUGAGACACAAAGCCCUGAGGAGAAAGAAAUGUCCAGGACUCUGUCCAGAAACUGACAAAAGCCUGCCUGCCUCCGCAGUCAUUGAAAGUGCUGUCCAAAAAUAGUGACUUGGCCCUCCGGAGCAACAAACACCUAACAUGAGAUGUCCUAUGUCAGAAGUUGGGAUUCCUGUGGUUUAAGAUGAAAUUUUACCCACAAUUUUAAUAAAGUUUUCACAAAAUGUU